Molecule: ribosomal RNA, 301 nt
Filed under: uncultured bacterium
Lineage: Bacteria
Description: partial 16S ribosomal RNA
Rfam family: Bacterial small subunit ribosomal RNA
Source: RNAcentral
CAGUCGCCGCGGGAAUACGUAGGCGGCAAGCGUUGUCCGGAAUUAUUGGGCGUAAAGGGAGCGCAGGUGGGACGGUAAGUCCGUCUUAAAAGGCAGGGGCUCAGCCCCUGUAAGGGAUGGAAACUAUCGAUCUUGAGUGCCGGAGAGGAAAGCGGAAUUCCCAGUGUAGCGGUGAAAUGCGUAGAUAUUGGGAAGAACACCAGUGGCGAAGGCGGCUUUCUGGACGGCAACUGACACUGAGGCUCGAAAGCCAGGGGAGCGAACGGGAUUAGAUACCCCCGUAGUCCCUGUCUCUAUACAC